This 450-nucleotide ribosomal RNA is filed under the name uncultured bacterium. RNAcentral's name for it is "partial 16S ribosomal RNA". It matches the Rfam family "Bacterial small subunit ribosomal RNA", at positions 338 to 795 of the family's 1533-position model. The record is from RNAcentral.
CCUACGGGCGGCAGCAGUCGAGAAUCUUUCACAAUGGGGGCAACCCUGAUGGAGCGACGCCGCGUGGAGGAUAAGGUCUUCGGAUUGUAAACUCCUGUCAUGCGAGAACAAGGUUGCAGGGCUAACACCUUUGCAAAUUGAUGGUACCGCAAGAGGAAGCGACGGCUAACUCUGUGCCAGCAGCCGCGGUAAUACAGAGGUCUCAAGCGUUGUUCGGAAUCGCUGGGCGGAGGGGUGGCAUAGCUGGCGUGAAAGCCCGGGGCUCAACCUCGGAAUUGCAGCCGAUACUGCCAUGGUGGAGUACUGAAGAGGUGACUAGAAUUCUAGGUGUAGCAGUGAAAUGCGUAGAUAUCUAGAGGAAUACCAACGGCGAAGGCAGGUCACUGGGCAGUUACUGACACUGAGGCACGAAGGCCAGGGGAGCAAACGGGAUUAGAUACCCGAGUAGUC